This 73-nucleotide transfer RNA is filed under the name Ignavibacteriaceae bacterium. Its description in RNAcentral is "tRNA-Gln". It matches the Rfam family "tRNA". Rfam says of the family: Transfer RNA (tRNA) molecules are approximately 80 nucleotides in length. Lineage: Bacteria; Pseudomonadati; Ignavibacteriota; Ignavibacteria; Ignavibacteriales; Ignavibacteriaceae. The record is from RNAcentral.
UGCCUUGUGGUGUAAUUGGCAACACGUCUGACUCUGGAUCAGAAGACUUAAGGUUCGAGCCCUUACAAGGCAG